GCCAGAGCUCCGAUCAGAAAACAAAGAGGCGGCGAAGAAACUCCUCACUCACUGCUUCAAUCUCGGCAUCUCUGCUCUUCCCUUUUCCCUCUUCCCUCUUCCCUCUUCCCUCCCUGUCAUCGAUGUAGUCAAACUCGUUGUGUGAGAACUGAAAACAUAUCCGACAUUCAAUUCGGGACUUGGAUCGACGUUAACAGAGAAAGGGGCUGUAGAGAUGGAGGCGAGCAUUAUGGAUAGGAGCAAGAGGAGAUGUGGAAUCGGCACUACCUGAGGAGAGGUAUUUUUAGAUAGAGUUCGCUGUUAUCACUCAGAGAUUUCUCUCGAUUUUGGAAUAGGCACCACCGGAGGGGAGAGGAGAGAAUCUCCUCUCUUCCGAGCAAUUCAUUGUCGUCGAUCACCAUAAUCUGUUCUAUAGAUCGAGAGAUUCGAGACCAUCUAAAAGAGAAAAGCAGAAAUUGCCCAGAAAAAGGAAUAGUCGAAUUCAGGGUUUCCUUCUCGAUAUGGAGCAAGAGAGCCAGUCACUGAAAGAAUUGCAUAUCUUUAUUCAUCCAAUUGAACUCUUUAUUCAUCCAA
Long non-coding RNA from Macadamia integrifolia, 573 nucleotides. RefSeq lists it as uncharacterized. NCBI's taxonomy places the organism in Eukaryota, Viridiplantae, Streptophyta, Magnoliopsida, Proteales, Proteaceae. The transcript is spliced from 2 exons. The record is from RefSeq and is a predicted model, not a curated record.